Molecule: ribosomal RNA, 355 nt
Filed under: Aurelia sp. 5 sensu Dawson et al. (2005)
Lineage: Eukaryota; Metazoa; Cnidaria; Scyphozoa; Semaeostomeae; Ulmaridae
Description: eukaryotic LSU rRNA
Rfam family: Eukaryotic large subunit ribosomal RNA
Source: RNAcentral
UUUGACCUCAGAUCAGGCAAGACUACCCGCUGAAUUUAAGCAUAUUAAUAAGCGGAGGAAAAGAAACUAACAAGGAUUCCCUCAGUAACGGCGAGUGAAGUGGGAAUGGCUCAAGCUUGAAAUCUCUGUUGCUUGCAACAGCGAAUUGUAGUCUCGAGAAGCGUUUUCCCGGCGGAUCUACCCUGCCUAAGUUGCUUGGAACAGCACAUCAGAGAGGGUGACAAUCCCGUUUGUGGCAGGGCAGACCGUUCAUGAUACGCUUUCCAUGAGUCGGGUUGCUUGGGAAUGCAGCCCAAAAUUGGUGGUAAACUCCAUCUAAAGCUAAAUAUUGCCACGAUACCGAUAGCAAACAAGU